This 486-nucleotide ribosomal RNA is filed under the name uncultured bacterium. RNAcentral describes it as "bacterial SSU rRNA". It matches the Rfam family "Bacterial small subunit ribosomal RNA", at positions 28 to 509 of the family's 1533-position model. The record is from RNAcentral.
GAUGAACGCUAGCGGCAGGCCUAACACAUGCAAGUCGAGGGGCAGCACAGGUAGCAAUACUGGGUGGCGACCGGCGGAUGGGUGCGUAACGCGUAUGCAACCUACCAUUGAUUGGGGCAUAGCCCGAAGAAAUUCGGAUUAAUACUCCAUAAUAUUCAUCAAAGGCAUCUUUUAUGAAUUAAAGCUUUUGCGAUCAAUGAUGGGCAUGCGUGACAUUAGUUAGUUGGUGAGGUAACGGCUCACCAAAACGAUGAUGUCUAGGGGUUCUGAGAGGAUUAUCCCCCACACUGGUACUGAGACACGGGACCAGACUCCUACGGGAGGCAGCAGUGAGGAAUAUUGGUCAAUGGACGCAAGUCUGAACCAGCCAUGCCGCGUGCAGGAUGACGGCCCUAUGGGUUGUAAACUGCUUUUCCACGGGAAGAACCCUCCGACGUGUCGGAGACUGACGGUACCGUGGGAAUAAGCAUCGGCUAACUCCGUGCC